This 230-nucleotide ribosomal RNA is filed under the name uncultured bacterium. RNAcentral describes it as "partial 16S ribosomal RNA". It matches the Rfam family "Bacterial small subunit ribosomal RNA", at positions 106 to 334 of the family's 1533-position model. The record is from RNAcentral.
CGGGAGUAACGCGUGGGUAACCUGCCUCAUACAGGGGAGUAACAGUUAGAAAUGACUGCUAAUACCGCAUAAGCGCACGGGACUGCAUGGUCCAGUGUGAAAAACUACCGGUGGUAUGAGAUGGACCCGCGUCUGAUUAGCUAGUUGGUGAGGUAACGGCCCACCAAGGCGACGAUCAGUAGCCGACCUGAGAGGGUGACCGGCCACAUUGGGACUGAGACACGGCCCAA